This 201-nucleotide long non-coding RNA is filed under the name Mytilus galloprovincialis (Mediterranean mussel). The record is from RNAcentral. Lineage: Eukaryota; Metazoa; Mollusca; Bivalvia; Mytilida; Mytilidae.
AGAUCCAGCUAUAUACACAUGUUCUUAAUUUAUGUCAGCAAAGGCAUUGAUUAAUGGUCUUAGAUUAUUUGGAUAAACUAUUGCAGUUCAACUGUGCAACUAAAGUAUCGUAUAAAGUGUCACAUUAAACAAGAUGAAAGAUCAUUAAACUGAUUAAGAACUGACCAUGAAAUCUUUAAUGUAAAUGACCACGCCACACUA